CCAGACUCCUACGGGAGGCAGCAGUGGGGAAUAUUGCACAAUGGGGGAAACCCUGAUGCAGCGACGCCGCGUGAAGGAUGAAGUAUUUCGGUAUGUAAACUUCUAUCAGCAGGGAAGAGAAUGACGGUACCUGACUAAGAAGCCCCGGCUAACUACGUGCCAGCAGCCGCGGUAAUACGUAGGGGGCAAGCGUUAUCCGGAUUUACUGGGUGUAAAGGGAGCGUAGACGGUAUGGCAAGUCUGAUGUGAAAACCCGGGGCUCAACCCCGGGACUGCUCUGGAAACUGUACGGCUGGAGUGCAGGAGAGGUAAGUGGAAUUCCUAGUGUAGCGGUGAAAUGCGUAGAUAUUAGGAGGAACACCAGUGGCGAAGGCGGCUUACUGGACUGUAACUGACGUUGAGGCUCGAAAGCGUGGGGAGCAAACAGGAUUAGAUACCCUGGUACA
RNAcentral lists this ribosomal RNA (446 nucleotides) under uncultured bacterium. RNAcentral's name for it is "bacterial SSU rRNA". It matches the Rfam family "Bacterial small subunit ribosomal RNA", at positions 331 to 794 of the family's 1533-position model. The record is from RNAcentral.